This 460-nucleotide ribosomal RNA is filed under the name uncultured bacterium. RNAcentral's name for it is "partial 16S ribosomal RNA". It matches the Rfam family "Bacterial small subunit ribosomal RNA", at positions 338 to 795 of the family's 1533-position model. The record is from RNAcentral.
CCUACGGGAGGCAGCAGUGAGGAAUAUUGGUCAAUGGGCGUAAGCCUGAACCAGCCAAGUCGCGUGAGGGAUGAAGGUUCUAUGGAUCGUAAACCUCUUUUAUAAGGGAAUAAAGUGCGGGACGUGUCCCGUUUUGUAUGUACCUUAUGAAUAAGGAUCGGCUAACUCCGUGCCAGCAGCCGCGGUAAUACGGAGGAUCCGAGCGUUAUCCGGAUUUAUUGGGUUUAAAGGGUGCGUAGGUGGGUUGUUAAGUCAGUUGUGAAAGUUUGCGGCUCAACCGUAAAAUUGCAAUUGAUACUGGCAGUCUUGAGUAUAGUUGAGGUAGGCGGAAUGCGUGGUGUAGCGGUGAAAUGCAUAGAUAUCACGCAGAACCCCGAUUGCGAAGGCAGCCUUCCGGCGCCCUACUGACGCUGAGGCACGAAAGUGUGGGGAUCGAACAGGAUUAGAUACCCGUGUAGUC